GAUUUUAAGACUUGGUAUUUUUAACAACUAGUAAACUGUGUAAACUCGCUUAUUCACAUAAAUUUUACCCAUUCGUCUUGGCAUUGAGUCAUUCAAUUGCUGAUAAGUUUCCGUUGGUAUAGCGUACCAUUCCUUUUAAGCUGCUUCCCACAAUCGAUCCUUAUUUGUGAAAUUUUGAUCGAAUAACUUCUUUUUAAGUACAUUCCGUAGAUUUUCUACGGAAUUGAUGACAGGAGAUUGGCAGGGUCCGAAAUUAUAGUCACUUUAUUAUCCCGAAAUCAUUCCUUUAAAUAUUCCGAUGUGUGUUUUCGAUCAAUAUCUUGCUGAAACUGCCAUGUAAAGGCACGUUAUCUUUGGGAUAAAACUGCAUGACAUCCUUUAGGAUGUCCAUCCUUUAGCCUUGCAUUCGAAUCUUGCCAUUAUAGUGAUGUUGUGAAAAAUAGGACCUGCGCCAUUCCACGAAAAGCAAGGCCCAAUCCUCAUUGUUCUCGCUCCCGUGCUUUACCAUACUUUGCGUGUGUCGCAGAUUAAACUCUAUGCACUUUGGACGUUUAACGUUUCUUUGUGCAUCGGAGAAAAACAGAUUUGUCUUCGGUUCGGCCCUCCGAAGGAUAUGUUGCCAUUUAUUGAUUCCUUCCGAACCAAGCCCAUUAACACUGUUAAAAAGCAAAUUGCAUAUUUCUUCGAAGGCUUUUGCUUCGCAAUAGUGGACCCUUCUUAGCAAUUCUUUCUGGAAGAUUGGAAUUUUACGGCCUACUGCGAACUGUUCUCGGACCUACCACUUUUCCAAUCUGUAACCACCGGUUACGACAGUUGUUAGUUGGCUUUGCCAAAUUGAUAAGUGUCGCUAGGUUUGCUCAUUCCCUUUCCCAAUCCCUAACUCCUACUCUGUGUAAAACAUCAAAAUGUGUGAGUGAUGGCCUUCCAAGUCCAGGUUGUCAUCUGAGACGGGUGGGUCACUCACGCAGAAGGGUUGCAGGCGCUCACCCAAGGUGUCUCAUCACAACGGUGUGAGCAUAACGUAGCGCAACAUGCUAUCCAUCGCUGUCGCAGCCAUUGGAAGGGCUGCCAAGGUUUUGACAAUUUAAAUGUCAGUUCGGAUGAUAUUGCAAAAAUUGAGGUUUUUCGGUAUCAUCCGAGCUGAGUUAGGCUCGGCGGUCGCCGAGAUAGUUCUUUCGGUUCUCGACAUUCGAGGAAGUCAGAAGUGCGCGCGGUUUUUGCUCAUUAUUCAAUGUGAUUUUUCUUGUACAGUUUAAGUGGUGUAUUGUGUGAAUAAUGUUCUUUUUUAGUUUUAGAUAUAGAUAGAUUAGAUUAAAAGUAAAAGUAAACGGUUAUAGUACGUGUCACAAAACGAAGAAAAAACGAAGAAAUUGAAAAGCACGAAUCCCAUACAAAUUAAAAUCAAGUUGAAAAGGUCCACAGCGGGCCUUUUUUUCUCUGGCUUCGGACUACGUCCGAAGGGUUUCUUCGCAGGAAGCACGCCAAACAGAAAUCCUCAAAGCGAACCGAUUAGAGAACCGAGAGUCCUUGCUGAAGAACCCUAGAUCCGACGCGCUGGGGAGAUUCGCCGCCAUUUUUGGCAACUCCGCCAGUGUGCUAACGCCGCCAUUGUUAUUGACGGUGUACAAUUACGAGGUCGGCAGGUUUGUCGCCUUCAAAGUUCCGGACCGUUUUCCUGCCACCAGCGAACCCAGAUCCACCAGAAUUUGCCAUGGCUGUAAUAGUCAGCCGCACAACCACUGUAAACUUGCACCAGAUAAAAAGAUCCGCAAGUAGCUAAAUCGUGACGUCACAUAGCAUUAAGUUUAGUUAGGGUAUGGUAAUAAAUUGUAUGUAUAAAUUAAAAUUCUGUACCAUCUGUAUAUUCUCGUAUAACAUUGUCCGUACAAUAACACCACUACUUUGAAUCGGUUUCCGGACUCGAAAGGAGUCGUCAGUCCUCGUCCUAGGAUGUUUCCGCUGAAAGAGCAUUCACGGUAUCGCUUUUGAGCAUAUUAAAAUAUUGCUUUACCUUUUUAGUUGUUCACCUUGGUUGCAGCAGCGAUUGAUGGUCCGGUUUCCCCUGUUCCCGAAGUGAAUGAGUUCCGUGGUGAGUACAACUAAAACCCUGAAUGUAUACCAGCAGUAGAGAGCAUAAUCCCCCUCCAACCACCCACUGAGCAAGUCGAGGGGCUACAAAUUGGCGCCCAACAUAACAACCCACAGUUAGAUUUUUUUUUCAAAAUCCCUACGGAGGGAGUACAAAACAGAACGCUGUUUUAUUAGGUUAUUUUCGUCCUCUGAACGAAAGUAUACAGUUUUUCGGAA
Topomyia yanbarensis is the source of this 2307-nucleotide long non-coding RNA. RefSeq lists it as uncharacterized. NCBI's taxonomy places the organism in Eukaryota, Metazoa, Arthropoda, Insecta, Diptera, Culicidae. The transcript has 3 exons. The record is from RefSeq and is a predicted model, not a curated record.